UAGGGAAUCUUCGGCAAUGGGGGGAACCCUGACCGAGCAACGCCGCGUGAGUGAAGAAGGUUUUCGGAUCGUAAAGCUCUGUUGUUAAGGAAGAACGAGUGUGAGAAUGGAAAGUUCAUGCUGUGACGGUACUUAACCAGAAAGGGACGGCUAACUACGUGGCAGCAGCCGCGGUAAUACGUAGGUCCCGAGCGUUGUCCGGAUUUAUUGGGCGUAAAGCGAGCGCAGGCGGUUAGAUAAGUCUGAAGUUAAAGGCAGUGGCUCAACCAUUGUAGGCUUUGGAAACUGUUUAACUUGAGUGCAGAAGGGGAGAGUGGAAUUCCAUGUGUAGCGGUGAAAUGCGUAGAUAUAUGGAGGAACACCGGUGGCGAAAGCGGCUCUCUGGUCUGUAACUGACGCUGAGGCUCGAAAGCGUGGGGAGCGAACAGG
RNAcentral lists this ribosomal RNA (429 nucleotides) under Bacteroidota bacterium. RNAcentral's name for it is "Bacteroidetes bacterium partial 16S ribosomal RNA". It matches the Rfam family "Bacterial small subunit ribosomal RNA", at positions 355 to 776 of the family's 1533-position model. Lineage: Bacteria; Pseudomonadati; Bacteroidota. The record is from RNAcentral.